Molecule: ribosomal RNA, 424 nt
Filed under: uncultured bacterium
Lineage: Bacteria
Also listed under: 2 other names
Description: bacterial SSU rRNA
Rfam family: Bacterial small subunit ribosomal RNA
Source: RNAcentral
UGAGGAAUAUUGGUCAAUGGGCGGAAGCCUGAACCAGCCAUGCCGCGUGCAGGAAGGAGGCCCUACGGGUUGUAAACUGCUUUUACCCGGGAAGAAACCGCCCCCUGUGGGGGGCGUUGCCGGUACCGGGGGAAAAAGGAUCGGCUAACUCCGUGCCAGCAGCCGCGGUAAUACGGAGGAUCCGGGCGUUAUCCGGAAUUACUGGGUUUAAAGGGUGCGUAGGCGGGGCUUUAAGCCGGCGGUGAAAUGCAGCGGCUCAACCGCUGGAAUGCCGUUGGGACUGGGGCUCUUGGAUACGGUCGGGGCGGGUGGAACUCGUGGUGUAGCGGUGAAAUGCAUAGAUAUCACGAGGAACGCCGGUAGCGAAGGCAGCUCGCCGGGCCGGUAUUGACGCUGAGGCACGAAAGCGUGGGGAUCGAACAGG